UACGGAGGGUGCGAGCGUUAAUCGGAAUUACUGGGCGUAAAGCGUGCGUAGGCGGUUUGUUAAGCAAGAUGUGAAAGCCCAGGGCUCAACCUUGGAACUGCAUUUUGAACUGGCAAACUAGAGUACUGUAGAGGGUGGUGGAAUUUCCAGUGUAGCGGUGAAAUGCGUAGAGAUUGGAAGGAACAUCAGUGGCGAAGGCGGCCACCUGGACAGAUACUGACGCUGAGGCACGAAAGCGUGGGGAGCAAACAGG
RNAcentral lists this ribosomal RNA (253 nucleotides) under uncultured bacterium. RNAcentral's name for it is "partial 16S ribosomal RNA". It matches the Rfam family "Bacterial small subunit ribosomal RNA", at positions 524 to 776 of the family's 1533-position model. The record is from RNAcentral.